ACUAGGCAUGGUGGCAUGUGCCUGUAGUCCUAAUUACCAGACAGGCUGAGAAAGGAGGAUCAUUUGAGCCCAAGAGUUCGAAGACAGCCUGGGCAACAUAGUGUGACCAGUUCUCAA
This 117-nucleotide small RNA is filed under the name Marmota monax (woodchuck). Lineage: Eukaryota; Metazoa; Chordata; Mammalia; Rodentia; Sciuridae. The record is from RNAcentral.